UGACCUCAAAUCAGGUAAGAAUACCCGCUGAACUA
Molecule: ribosomal RNA, 35 nt
Filed under: uncultured Glomus
Lineage: Eukaryota; Fungi; Glomeromycota; Glomeromycetes; Glomerales; Glomeraceae
Description: partial 28S ribosomal RNA
Source: RNAcentral